AAUAUUGCACAAUGGGGGAAACCCUGAUGCAGCGACGCCGCGUGAAGGAAGAAGUAUUUCGGUAUGUAAACUUCUAUCAGCAGGGAAGAAGAAAGUGACGGUACCUGACUAAGAAGCCCCGGCUAACUACGUGCCAGCAGCCGCGGUAAUACGUAGGGGGCAAGCGUUAUCCGGAUUUACUGGGUGUAAAGGGAGCGUAGGCGGCUGAGCAAGUCAGAAGUGAAAGCCCGCGGCUUAACUGCGGGACUGCUUUUGAAACUGCCCAGCUUGAUUGCCGGAGAGGUAAGUGGAAUUCCUAGUGUAGCGGUGAAAUGCGUAGAUAUUAGGAGGAACACCAGUGGCGAAGGCGGCUUACUGGACGGUCAAUGACGCUGAGGCUCGAAAGCGUGGGGAGCAAACAG
Molecule: ribosomal RNA, 401 nt
Filed under: uncultured bacterium
Lineage: Bacteria
Description: bacterial SSU rRNA
Rfam family: Bacterial small subunit ribosomal RNA
Source: RNAcentral